This 77-nucleotide transfer RNA is filed under the name Modestobacter marinus. RNAcentral's name for it is "tRNA-Ala". The record is from RNAcentral. Lineage: Bacteria; Bacillati; Actinomycetota; Actinomycetes; Geodermatophilales; Geodermatophilaceae.
GCGGUGGGGGCGGGCCGGCCCUGACCCGGGGACCGCUCGCGGCGGUCGGUUCCCGGGUCACCGGCCGGUCCGCCGCG